ACACACACACGACAACCUUGUACCGCUUAGACACGAGACACACACCCCUAUACACACAGGGAGGGAGUCUCUCAAUCUCUCUCUCUCUCACACACACACACACACACACACCUAUACACACAGGGAGGGAGUCUCUCUCUCUCUCUCUCUCUCUCUCUCUCACCACACACACACACACACAAAACAGACACAAAUCGAGCCUCGCUUUUUCUGACUUAUUUUACUCGGAAGUUUCCAAAGACAGGGCGCUGUGAAGGAAUUUGCUGCUGGGAGAGCGGAGGAGGGAAAGGGAAACGCUUCUCCCGCCGCCGGCGGGAAGCCUUGGGUUCAGCAAAGCUGAAGGCAAGCGGAGGGAAAGGGAAGGCGGCUCCAGAAUCGGCGGGAAUGGGAGAGAGAGUUGAGGGAUCUCAUCUGCCGCCUCUCCCUCUCCCUCGCUCUCUCCCGCUUGUUUCCCAGUGCUCGCGUGACGUCUCGGCUCCCAAGAACGCGCAGCGGAGUCCCUGCUACUCCCACCAACGCGAGUCUUUACUAAGCGAAUCUCUUCGGACCCUCGCUCGCUCGCUUCUCCGAGACUCCUGAGAAGAGCAGACCCACAGAAGAAGUCCUACAUGGAUCUUAAACUGAAAUUAUGACCAAGAUUUUACAACAAGGGGAAUAAAAUGGCUGAAUCCUG
This is a non-coding RNA of Pantherophis guttatus, 673 nucleotides long. The record is from RefSeq and is a predicted model, not a curated record. Lineage: Eukaryota; Metazoa; Chordata; Lepidosauria; Squamata; Colubridae.